Helianthus annuus (common sunflower) is the source of this 1438-nucleotide long non-coding RNA. RefSeq lists it as uncharacterized. The record is from RefSeq and is a predicted model, not a curated record. NCBI's taxonomy places the organism in Eukaryota, Viridiplantae, Streptophyta, Magnoliopsida, Asterales, Asteraceae. The transcript is spliced from 4 exons.
AGUUAAUUACUAGAUAUUUUUUUUACCACCUCUGUUACACAUUCAAACAAAACCCCACUCUCAAACAUAACACUCUGUCUUGUCUUCUCUCUCGUCACUCAGGUCACCGGAGUAACCUCCGGCCGGAAAUCCAACGCCGGCUUCUCCGACAAACACACACACACCCCGAAACACUCCCCUCGUUCUCACAACCCUCAUUCUCCCGCUCGGCUUCUCCGGCGCCGAAUCUCUGGCGAAACCCACACCACACCUGCAAUCUCGUUCCUCUCUCCGACAACACCCACACACCCGGCCGCACCCCCUAUCUCUGCCUCUAUCUCGUUUUUCCGGCGAAGUAUUCAGGCGACGGUGCCGCCGUCAGUGGCGGCGGUGGUGCGAUCUUGCUCUCCGACGACAGUUAGGGCGGUGGUGGUGAGUUUUGACUCUGACUUCCGGUGCCUCUUCGUCUCCGACAGGCUCUGAUGUGGAUGAUGAUGAUGAUGCCGACAGUAGAACAGCAGUGGUGGUGUUUCUGUUCAGUUCGCUUCGGUUUGUUUCGGGUCCGAGCAAGAUAUUACAGGUUCUCGUUUUUGGCUUGAGUUUUGGUUCGGAUGGUAACGGGAUGGUGGUUGGUGACGGGUCUACGGCAAUAACAGUAGUGGUGGAUGGUUCAGCUGGCUCGGGGUUAAGUUUUGGCUCAACCGGCUCAAGUUCAGACAACAGCAGUCAACAAAAUUUCGGUUCAGGUCAGGUCAAUUUACGAGUCAACUCAGUUCAGUUGGGUGUGCUCGGUUCGGUUCAUGUGCCAUUCUGGUUCGGUUCAGUCAUAGCAUGGUACAACGGGUUCGAGUUUUGGUGACUCGGGAUCACAUCAGCAGGUUUCGGUUCAUAGUUCGGUUCGGUUCGGGUAAAUGGUUCAGUCAACUGGUUUCGGCUCGGGUCAGUGCGAGUCAACACAGCAACGGGUCAGUUGCGGGUUUUCGGCUCGGUUUCGGGUCUUGGUCAAAGGCAGUCAACGAGUCAAUGGUUCGGUCAAUUCAGUCAACGCAAGUCAACUCUGGUCAACCAGUCAACUGUCGGGUCAACUGGUCAAACGCAAGACGCGGGAUACGGUAGAUGCACGCUAGCUAAUACACGUUCUUGGAACGACACUACGGAAUCACACUAAGCUAGCUUUGCACAGGAAUAUCAAGGUUGCAUUUUUAAAACUAUGGAACGGUUGGAAUAGGAGAACCCAUGGGAUUUCGAGUACUUAGCAGGCGUUCAAUUUUUAGAAGUCUUAGCUUAUUUGCUUCCGCUGUGCAAUGAAGAUACCGGUCCAGUCACGCCAGCUCUGAUAUUUCGGGGUGUGACAAAAUCAACAUGAACAUUUGUUUUGUCUGGCAUAUAUCUCGAGAAUUAAGGACCUUAGGUACUUAUGGAGCUUGCACAAGGAGGAGCAGGUCGUUGUAGGCAAUGG